AUUGAACGCUGGCGGCAUGCCUUACACAUGCAAGUCGAACGGCAGCACGGGUGCUUGCACCUGGUGGCGAGUGGCGAACGGGUGAGUAAUGCAUCGGAACGUGCCCGGUCGUGGGGGAUAACGCAGCGAAAGUUGUGCUAAUACCGCAUACGUCCUGAGGGAGAAAGCAGGGGAUCUUCGGACCUUGUGCGAUUGGAGCGGCCGAUGUCAGAUUAGCUAGUUGGUGAGGUAAAAGCUCACCAAGGCGACGAUCUGUAGCUGGUCUGAGAGGAUGAUCAGCCACACUGGAACUGAGACACGGUCCAGACUCCUACGGGAGGCAGCAGUGGGGAAUUUUGGACAAUGGGGGCAACCCUGAUCCAGCCAUGCCGCGUGAGUGAAGAAGGCCUUCGGGUUGUAAAGCUCUUUCGGCCGGGAAGAAAUCGUGCAGGCUAAUACCCUGUAUGGAUGACGGUACCGGAAUAAGAAGCACCGGCUAACUACGUGCCAGCCGCCGCCGUAA
This 502-nucleotide ribosomal RNA is filed under the name uncultured bacterium. Its description in RNAcentral is "partial 16S ribosomal RNA". It matches the Rfam family "Bacterial small subunit ribosomal RNA", at positions 30 to 523 of the family's 1533-position model. The record is from RNAcentral.